GUGGGGGGGGAGGCUAGGUUAG
This 22-nucleotide microRNA is filed under the name Mus musculus (house mouse). Its description in RNAcentral is "mmu-miR-6980-5p". The record is from miRBase by way of RNAcentral. Lineage: Eukaryota; Metazoa; Chordata; Mammalia; Rodentia; Muridae.